RNAcentral lists this ribosomal RNA (477 nucleotides) under Henlea perpusilla. RNAcentral describes it as "partial 16S ribosomal RNA". It matches the Rfam family "Bacterial large subunit ribosomal RNA", at positions 1817 to 2596 of the family's 2925-position model. The record is from RNAcentral. Lineage: Eukaryota; Metazoa; Annelida; Clitellata; Enchytraeida; Enchytraeidae.
UGCUUCUUGAACAAUAUAAAAAGUAAUCUCCUGCCCAGUGAAUUUAUUUAACGGCCGCGGUAUAAUAACCGUGCAAAGGUAGCAUAAUAACUUGCCUAUUAAUUGUAGGCUAGAAUGAACGGGGUAACGAAAUAAGAGCUGUCUCAAUAGACAUUCCAUAAACUAAUAUCCAAGUGAAGAAGCUUAGAUAAUAAUAUAGGACAAGAAGACCCUAUAGAGCUUUAUCUUACCUACAUAAUUCAUGUAAUACGAUUCGGUUGGGGCGACCAAGGAAAAUUCAUCCUUAAAUUUAAAGAUUCAUUUAUCUCCCAAAAGAUCCUUAAAAUAAGAUCAUCAAAACUAGCUACCUUAGGGAUAACAGGCUAAUCCCAUUAUAGAGCUCUUAUCAACAAUGGGGAUUGGCACCUCGAUGUUGGCUUAGAAUAUCUCUGUGGCGCAAAAGCCACAAAAAGAAGGUUUGUUCAACCUAUAAUAUUC